UGGGGAAUAUUGGACAAUGGGCGCAAGCCUGAUCCAGCAAUACCGCGUGUGUGAAGAAGGCCUGAGGGUUGUAAAGCACUUUCAAUUGGGAGGAAAAAGGCAGGCCCAAUACGCCUGCCCUUGACAUUACCUUUAGAAGAAGCACCGGCUAACUCCGUGCCAGCAGCCGCGGUAAUACGGAGGGUGCGAGCGUUAAUCGGAAUUACUGGGCGUAAAGCGUGCGUAGGCGGCCCGCCAAGCCAGAUGUGAAAGCCCUGGGCUCAACCUGGGAACGGCAUUUGGAACGGGCGGGCUAGAGUUGGGUAGAGGGGGGCGGAAUUCCGGGUGUAGCGGUGAAAUGCGUAGAUAUCCGGAGGAACACCAGUGGCGAAGGCGGCCCCCUGGACCCAAACUGACGCUGAGGUACGAAAGCGUGGGUAGCAAACAGGAUUAGAUACCCCCGUAGUCCCUGAGCGGGCUGGCAAGGCGCAU
RNAcentral lists this ribosomal RNA (471 nucleotides) under uncultured bacterium. RNAcentral describes it as "bacterial SSU rRNA". It matches the Rfam family "Bacterial small subunit ribosomal RNA", at positions 355 to 825 of the family's 1533-position model. The record is from RNAcentral.